RNAcentral lists this ribosomal RNA (433 nucleotides) under uncultured bacterium. RNAcentral's name for it is "partial 16S ribosomal RNA". It matches the Rfam family "Bacterial small subunit ribosomal RNA", at positions 29 to 507 of the family's 1533-position model. The record is from RNAcentral.
AACGAACGCUGGCGGCAUGCCUAACACAUGCCAGUCGAACGAGACCUUCGGGUCUAGUGGCGCACGGGUGCGUAACGCGUGGGAACCUGCCCUUAGGUUCGGAAUAACGCCCCGAAAGGGGUGCUAAUACCGGAUAAUGUCUUCGGACCAAAGAUUUAUCGCCUUUGGAUGGGCCCGCGUUGGAUUAGCUAGUUGGUAGGGUAAAAGCCUACCAAGGCGACGAUCCAUAGCUGGUCUGAGAGGAUGAUCAGCCACACUGGGACUGAGACACGGCCCAGACUCCUACGGGAGGCAGCAGUGGGGAAUAUUGGACAAUGGGCGGAAGCCUGAUCCAGUAAUGCCGCGUGAGUGAUGAAGGCCUUAGGGUUGUAAAGCUCUUUUACCCGGGAUGAUAAUGACAGUACCGGGAGAAUAAGCUCCGGCUAACUCCGUG